Molecule: long non-coding RNA, 194 nt
Organism: Etheostoma spectabile (orangethroat darter)
Lineage: Eukaryota; Metazoa; Chordata; Actinopteri; Perciformes; Percidae
Exons: 3
Source: RefSeq, a predicted model, not a curated record
UUGAGCUCUCCAGCACAAUGUUUUGUUGCAAGCGGUUGAGCACAUUUCUCCAGCUGUUCUGCGCGCUAUAGGGCACACACGAGGCUCCUUUCAUUUGUCAUCUCAUCUGAUCAAUCCAAAUCACAUAGAGCUGUCAAAACUGGUCAAAAAUGACGUUCAAAUGUUCCUUUUAAAAUCACAAGUUUGAAAAGGGG